Molecule: ribosomal RNA, 1047 nt
Filed under: Cyriopagopus hainanus
Lineage: Eukaryota; Metazoa; Arthropoda; Arachnida; Araneae; Theraphosidae
Description: 16S ribosomal RNA
Rfam family: Archaeal large subunit ribosomal RNA (bases 711-1001)
Source: RNAcentral
CCUAAUCUAUUUAACUAAAAAAAUAAUUUUCAUUAAAUCUAUUUUUGUAUUUUUAAACCACUGAAAAGGAAAUCUUACAAUUUCUUUAGGAAAAAAAUUUACCUUUUGUAUCAGGGGAUUUCAAAAAAUUAUGUUCAUUCAACCCUUCCGAAAAGAAGAGAUCUAAAACAUUUUGUACUUUGUGUUUCAAAACAAAGAAAAAUAAGUUUUAGAGGUGAAAUACCUUCCGCUCCUCUUGAUAUCUGAUUCCUCUUGUUCGUUUUCAGAACAUAUACUUUUCUUAGAACAAACCUUUUUAAAAAAAUAUCAUCUUUAUUUAUAACAAAAUCAGGAUUAAUAGUGUCCAAAAAGUUACCAAACUAAUUUUCUAUAUUUUGAUUUUUUUCCAAAGAGGAUUCAUUUUGUAAAAGCUAUAAUGAAACCAUUAGUAAAUAAAUAAUAUAUUAUUUUCCUUAAAUCACCAAUUAUCUUUUCUAGCUUACUUUUAUGAACUCGGCCCUAAGACUCUGACUGUUUACCAAAAACAUUUCUAAAUGCUUCAAAUUUAGUAAGACCUGCUCAAUGAUUUCUUAAAUAGCCGCGAAUAGUGCUAAGGUAGCAUAAUGAUUUGCCUGCUAAUUACAGGAUAGAAUGAAUGGUCCAACACGAGACUUUCUUUAUUAAAAUGACUUAUUUAACUUUUCAUGAAAGUAAAAAGACUUUCAUAACUAAAGGGGACGACAAGACCCUAUCGAACUUUACUUUAAGUUUAGCUGGGGCGGCAAAAAACUUUAUCUUUUUAUUCAUUUUCAUCUAAUCCUUAAUUAUGAAUUAUUAAGUUACCGUAGGGAUAACAGCAUAAUUUACUUCUAGAGACCUUAUCCAAAAGUAAGAUUGUGACCUCGAUGUUGAAUUAAAAUUCUCCUUGGAGCAGCCUCUAAGCAUAGAAAGUCUGUUCGACUUUUAAUUAUUUACAUGAUUUGAGUUCAGACCGGCGUAAGCCAGGUCGGUUUCUAUCUCUUUUCACUAAAUUUCAGUACGAAAGGACCAUUUUUAGAGCCAUUUGCU